Transfer RNA from Fomitiporia mediterranea MF3/22, 100 nucleotides. It matches the Rfam family "tRNA". From Rfam's summary of the family: Transfer RNA (tRNA) molecules are approximately 80 nucleotides in length. Their secondary structure includes four short double-helical elements and three loops (D, anti-codon, and T loops). Further hydrogen bonds mediate the characteristic L-shaped molecular structure. tRNAs have two regions of fundamental functional importance: the anti-codon, which is responsible for specific mRNA codon recognition, and the 3' end, to which the tRNAs corresponding amino acid is attached (by aminoacyl-tRNA synthetases). tRNAs cope with the degeneracy of the genetic code in two manners: having more than one tRNA (with a specific anti-codon) for a particular amino acid; and 'wobble' base-pairing, i.e. permitting non-standard base-pairing at the 3rd anti-codon position. NCBI's taxonomy places the organism in Eukaryota, Fungi, Basidiomycota, Agaricomycetes, Hymenochaetales, Hymenochaetaceae. The record is from Rfam.
UGCCCCGUGGCUCAGUUGGCUAGAGCGUGUGACUGUUAUUUGCAUAUGUAUCGUGUGAUAGGCAAUCACAAGGUCGAGAGUUCAAGCCUCUCCGGGGCAG